AUUAGCUCAGUUGGAGAGCGUCUGCUACAAGCAGAGGGUCACAGGUUCGAGCCCUCGUAUCCUCCA
This 66-nucleotide transfer RNA is filed under the name Lacticaseibacillus rhamnosus MTCC 5462. RNAcentral's name for it is "Lactobacillus rhamnosus MTCC 5462 tRNA-Cys". It matches the Rfam family "tRNA". Rfam says of the family: Transfer RNA (tRNA) molecules are approximately 80 nucleotides in length. Their secondary structure includes four short double-helical elements and three loops (D, anti-codon, and T loops). Lineage: Bacteria; Bacillati; Bacillota; Bacilli; Lactobacillales; Lactobacillaceae. The record is from RNAcentral.